AACAACAGCCAACGACCAAAACGUUGUCAUCACAGCAACGUACACCAACGACAAUACCAACGCUGUAACAACAGCGACCAUCGACAAACCAGCUCCACAUCCUUUUCCCCUUAGCAAUUCAACGUUAUCAGCAAAGGCCGUACAAACUCCAACCCCAGCAACAACAAUUUCAACGCAACAAACAGCAACGACUUCAACGAAAACCCGACCCUAACCCGAACCCGUCAAUCCUCAACCCGGCAUCAACGACAGACCCCCUGACCCCCGCCUAUUACCCUUUUACCCCUCCUACAGUUACAGUCGAGAAUGGCUAAAAAUUUCUCACUUUUCUCUUUUCAGCUUGUGCUCCUCUGUUCUGAGCAAGAUACAACGGAUAUGUAUCUCUUCCUUUGUGCGAGCUUGUUUUCUACUGAAUUUCAAAGACUGGUCUUUGUCUCAUUAUGGACUCCAAUUCUCUGAAAAAAUCAUUCCGAAAUUCGGAUUUAAGAUCAUUGUUUUCAAAAAUUCAAAACCCCAAUGUUCCCCUAUAAAUAGAGGUUGAAAGAAGAGGAGAAGGAGGAGGAUUUUUUGGGGGAAAAUUGAGGAUUCUGGAGGCGCGUGCUUCUAAUCCUACGCAGCCAAAAAAUUCCCGAAGAAACACCAGUUUGAAGUCGUCCAUUCGUCGUCCCAAUUUCGCUGCCCGAAAAAAGUCCAAGCAUCCUAUGAAUCCGAAAUGGUCUAAUAUUUGAAGAAACAAGGCUGGUAUACACUGAUAUAUAGCGCGUAUACACCGCAAACAGUAACUGAACACUGUCCCCCAGUGUAUAAUAAAAGAUGGAGAAGAAAUAUGUUGAUUUCCACACUGAUAUACAGUGUAUACUUGGAGAUAUACAUGAAAAACGCAGGGGAAAGAGCUGUGAUAUAUAGCUGGUAUACAGUUCAGAAAAUGGAGCAAAGUCCAUAAUUUUAAGCCCAAAAAUGGGCAGCUUUGUUGAUGGGCCAAUUAAGGGUUCAAUUUCAA
Capsicum annuum is the source of this 1000-nucleotide long non-coding RNA. RefSeq lists it as uncharacterized. The record is from RefSeq and is a predicted model, not a curated record. NCBI's taxonomy places the organism in Eukaryota, Viridiplantae, Streptophyta, Magnoliopsida, Solanales, Solanaceae. The transcript is spliced from 2 exons.